UUUCCAGAGAUGGAUUGGUGCCUUCGGGAACGCUGAGACAGGUGCUGCAUGGCUGUCGUCAGCUCGUGUUGUGAAAUGUUGGGUUAAGUCCCGCAACGAGCGCAACCCUUAUCCUUUGUUGCCAGCGAUUCGGUCGGGAACUCAAAGGAGACUGCCGGUGAUAAACCGGAGGAAGGUGGGGAUGACGUCAAGUCAUCAUGGCCCUUACGAGUAGGGCUACACACGUGCUACAAUGGCGCAUACAAAGAGAAGCGACCUCGCGAGAGCAAGCGGACCUCAUAAAGUGCGUCGUAGUCCGGAUCGGAGUCUGCAACUCGACUCCGUGAAGUCGGAAUCGCUAGUAAUCGUGGAUCAGAAUGCCACGGUGAAUACGUUCCCGGGCCUUGUACACACCGCCCGUCACACCAUGGGAGUGGGUUGCAAAAGAAGUAGGUAGCUUAACCUUCGGGAGGGCGCUUACCACUUUGUGAUUCAUGACUGGGGUGAAGUCGUAACAAGGUAAGCGUAGCGAG
Molecule: ribosomal RNA, 512 nt
Filed under: uncultured bacterium
Lineage: Bacteria
Description: bacterial SSU rRNA
Rfam family: Bacterial small subunit ribosomal RNA
Source: RNAcentral